Molecule: ribosomal RNA, 492 nt
Filed under: uncultured bacterium
Lineage: Bacteria
Description: partial 16S ribosomal RNA
Rfam family: Bacterial small subunit ribosomal RNA
Source: RNAcentral
AGUGAACGCUGGCGGUAGGCCUAACACAUGCAAGUCGAACGGCAGCACAGUAAGAGCUUGCUCUUACGGGUGGCGAGUGGCGGACGGGUGAGGAAUACAUCGGAAUCUACUUUUUCGUGGGGGAUAACGUAGGGAAACUUACGCUAAUACCGCAUACGACCUACGGGUGAAAGCAGGGGAUCUUCGGACCUUGCGCGAUUGAAUGAGCCGAUGUCGGAUUAGCUAGUUGGCGGGGUAAAGGCCCACCAAGGCGACGAUCCGUAGCUGGUCUGAGAGGAUGAUCAGCCACACUGGAACUGAGACAGGGUCCAGACUCCUGCGGGAGGCAGCAGUGGGGAAUAUUGGACAAUGGGGGCGAGCCUGAUCCAGCCAUACCGCGUGGGUGAAGAAGGCCUUCGGGUUGUAAAGCCCUUUUGUUGGGAGAGAAAAGCAGCAGGUUAAUACCCCGCUGUUCUGACGGUACCCGAAGAAUAAGCACCGGCUAACUUCGUG